Molecule: small RNA, 619 nt
Filed under: Malus domestica (apple)
Lineage: Eukaryota; Viridiplantae; Streptophyta; Magnoliopsida; Rosales; Rosaceae
Description: sRNA MD09G0153400
Source: RNAcentral
AUGUAGAAACUCAGCAAGUGUAGAACUCAACUAGCUCGUCCAUGGACCCCAACUGAGUCUCUGCAUUCUCAAGCAUCCACAACAAGUGCUCAAACAGCACCACCUCACAAGCCACCACAACCUCGCCGGAUGACGUGUCCACCAGCUCCUGAAUGACGGGGUGUUCAACGACUUCCGAGCUGACCAGCAAUGGAGCUUGUGGUGCGAGUGAGCUUGGUGAACGAAGGCCAUCUCUUUAUUGCUGACUUGAGCUUCGUUAGCUUCCCGGCUUUUGCCAUAAUAUUUUCUGAAACUCUUAAGUCUAGAUGAGAGAGAGAGGUUUGUGAAAAAUUGAGUGCUGCGAGGAAAGUGUGAGGGAAGGUUCAUGUAUAAAUGUGGAGGACAGAGGGAGAGAGAAACUAGAGAGAGAACCCUACUUGCAUGGCCCACUGUUUGAUACCAGCUAAGAAAGAGAUAUUUGGGUGCAAAACCAGUUGCACCUUGUUUGGCAAUUGGCGUGCCUUACAAUUAGCUUGAUAGAUGACCUUUCUUGCUUAUGGAUUUUCUGUUUUAUUUAUUUUGUUUAAUUUUCUGCAUAUUUCCAUUGUGGGGAUAUAUAAUACAUAAGUACCUUUUGCCA